RNAcentral lists this long non-coding RNA (1148 nucleotides) under Coturnix japonica (Japanese quail). RNAcentral describes it as "lncRNA (ENSCJPG00005009006.1)". The record is from RNAcentral. Lineage: Eukaryota; Metazoa; Chordata; Aves; Galliformes; Phasianidae.
AUGGAUCUGGCAACGUGCAGCACUCACAGGAUUCAGGAAGGAAGAGUAGCUGAAGAGCAACGUGCCCAGAGUACUGAUGGAAAAUCUAACCAAAACCAGAGUUCAUAUGGAAAUCUAAGGAACCUUAAUAUGACACUGAUCUUGUCACCCAGCACAAGGUAAAUACUACAGAGAACAUCGUGAAUUUGAGAAGAAAAGCUCUUGAUGGAAAAAAGAGAUAAGUUUAGUACAAAAGAAAAUGAACAGCAAUUUAAAUUGCAGCAGACUAUGAAAAAAGAGUGUGCUUAAUUAAAAAACUGCUUUCUCAUGUAGGAGCAUGCUGCCUGGGCUGUGUAAACAUGCUGUCUGCCUAAUCAAGGCUUACAAAGAGCUGGUUAGCAGUGAGAUAAAGUAAAAACCAAGGCAAUGUGGCAUUCUUUGAUUUUGUAAAUUGCCUCCUACUUCAUCUUUUUUGUUCCCAGGCAAUGAGCAGCCUCACACUCCUUCACAGACUUGCAGUAAAUUGGUCUGUUCAUUUAGGAACUGUAAAACAAUAAGAUAGAGGUGAAUCCGGAGGUCUGAGAGCUUCAUCAAAUAAUGAUAACUUGGAAGUUUUGUAGUGCUAUGGGUCCAAAACUCCAUGAACUUUUUCUAAUGAAUUGCAAAUUGAGUCUUUGCUGAAUGGAAAGGGGAGAGCAAGGUACCCUGAACGUUGUUCCUGAUCUGCAGGGGAAGAAAAAGGGAGAUGAACUUCUACACUGUACAUUCAGACUCCUACAGAGACCUAUAAAGCCAAUUUGAGAGCAAAAACCUCACCUGAACGGCCUCAUCAGUUGUUGGAAUUGACUUUGACAGACUUCUGCUCAGGAUAAGAGGAUCCUCAUGGUACAGUGUAUUCAGAUGCUGAAUCAAUCAGACUAGGGAAAACAAAAGGAUUAAACUCCAGAACACAAAGUCACAGCUCAGGCAUGUCUCAGCAUAUUUUCCUAUGACAUAAAAACUGUCCAAGAAAUCUGAAGAGCAUAAACAUCAGUCAGGUGCUAUUCCCUAGUUUUGUACCUUUCCUGUUUCUCUAAUUGGUAUGCCUGUAUGCCAUUGAUGCUGCAGACAAUGUUUGCAGUUUCCAAUUUAUAGAUACUGUUAGGUAAUAAAGAUUUAGAUUAUGCACA